GAUGAACGCUGGCGGCGUGCCUAAUACAUGCAAGUCGAGCGAACGGACGAGAAGCUUGCUUCUCUGAUGUUAGCGGCGGACGGGUGAGUAACACGUGGAUAACCUACCUAUAAGACUGGGAUAACUUCGGGAAACCGGAGCUAAUACCGGAUGAUAUUUUGAAACGCAUGGUUCAAAAGUGAAAGACGGUCUUGCUGUCACUUAUAGAUGGAUCCGCGCUGCAUUAGCUAGUUGGUAAGGUAACGGCUUACCAAGGCAACGAUGCAUAGCCGACCUCAGAGGGUGAUCGGCCACACUGGAAGUGAGACAGGUUCCAGACUCCUGCGGGGGGAAGCAGUAGGGAAUCUUCCGGGAUGGGCGAAAGCCGGACGGAGCAACGCCGCGUGAAUGAUGAAGGUCUUCGGAUCGUAGAGCUCUGUAAUUAGGGAAGAACAUAUGUGUAAGUAACUGUGCACAUCUUGACGGUACCUAAUCAGAAAGCCACGGCUAACUACGUG
RNAcentral lists this ribosomal RNA (497 nucleotides) under uncultured bacterium. RNAcentral's name for it is "partial 16S ribosomal RNA". It matches the Rfam family "Bacterial small subunit ribosomal RNA", at positions 28 to 507 of the family's 1533-position model. The record is from RNAcentral.